RNAcentral lists this long non-coding RNA (1280 nucleotides) under Marmota monax (woodchuck). The stretch from base 115 to 173 matches the Rfam family "tRNA", at positions 8 to 63 of the family's 71-position model. Lineage: Eukaryota; Metazoa; Chordata; Mammalia; Rodentia; Sciuridae. The record is from RNAcentral.
GUGGGUGUCCGGCUCCCAUGGGCACUGAUGCCACAGAAUCUUAUUUUGUAGGCCCCUGCCCCAAGCAAAUGGAGGCCUUAGUCCAGGAGGUCAAGUUCAAGGGGGCUAGGGAUAUAGCUCAGUUGGUAGAGUGUUUGCUUUGCAUGCACAAGGCCCUGGGUUCUAAUCCCCAGCGCACACACACAAAAGGUCAAGUUCAAGAACAAAAAGGCUGCCCCCCAACACACACACACACACAGGGGCAAAAACAAAAUCUACACACACGCAUGCUCGCACACUCGCUCAUACAGGCAUGCACACACCAGCCCUGUCUCAGCACUGUGGGGUGUGUUGAGGACCAGUGGCUAACGAGUAUUGAAUAACUGAACACAAGGGACAUGCUGCUAGGUCUCACCGUCGGAUGGGAGUCCUGCUGUAGCACAGCGUUCGGCAGAACGCAUCCACUGCCACCUCCACUGGCCACCCCAUGAGCAUCACAGUUGCCCAAGCUCUCAGCACCCCUGCAGCCCACAGCCAUAGGCCCACAGGCCACCAAAGGGCUAGAUCUGUGUGUAGGAGGAACGGCCUCUGAAAGGGACUGGUCUCCCUGCUCCAUCGCAGCACCAGCCAACCAGGACACACCUGGACAGUCCCCUUGCUCUGCCCCUGCAGCAUCCUGAGGCUCACUGCAGCUGAGCUCUGUGACCCUAAGGGUGGGAAACUGCAGCUGGACCUCAGGGCCCUCUCAGGACACUACAAAGAGCCCAAGGACACAGGCCUCACUGACAACACCCCAUCUCAGUGUGGCCCUGCUGCCUGUGUGGGUCACACACGUGGGUGGGGCCUCAUCAAGGUGCCAACAUGGAGGAUGGCUAACAUCAGCUGCUCCUGGUCUAUCUCUGGUCAUCCGCAGGGUGCCAGGGCCUUGACCUGUUGAGAUAUAGGCUUGGCCCUCCCCACAGAUGGUUCUAAGUCUGUGACCCAGGAGAAAAGAGCCUAGGGUGGGUACACCUGUAGAGGUGUGCUCUGGGCAGAGAUGUCACAGUGAGGAGGUAAUGGGAGCAGGAACCCUGGUGCCCUCCAGGACAGGGGGUACAGUGCCCUGAGAGAAGCAGAGGUGGCCCUGGAAUGCUGCUACCUGUUGGCAGCAGCUAGGCCCCUGGGUGGCCCCAUGGCUCUGGGCCCCCACUCCUUGUCCUCACAGGGGAGGGCUGACUAUAAACUGGAAGUCUUACGUGAGGAUCUCCAAGUCCAGUUGCACCCCGUCUGGGGCCUGGCAGCUAGUGAGGCUUUGACUUCAU